UACAGAGGUCUCAAGCGUUGUUCGGAUUCAUUGGGCGUAAAGGGUGCGUAGGCGGUGCGGUAAGUCGGGUGUGAAAUCUCGGAGCUUAACUCCGAAACUGCAUUCGAUACUGCCGUGCUUGAGGACUGGAGAGGAGACUGGAAUUUACGGUGUAGCGGUGAAAUGCGUAGAUAUCGUAAGGAAGACCAGUGGCGAAGGCGGGUCUCUGGACAGUUCCUGACGCUGAGGCACGAAGGUCAGGGGAGCAAACGGG
Molecule: ribosomal RNA, 253 nt
Filed under: uncultured bacterium
Lineage: Bacteria
Description: partial 16S ribosomal RNA
Rfam family: Bacterial small subunit ribosomal RNA
Source: RNAcentral